UAAAGUGUAGGUUAAUAUUUGUAAACUAUUGCCGUUCAAUGGCAGUGAUGAUUUUUGUUCACUUUAC
RNAcentral lists this transfer RNA (67 nucleotides) under Pessoaiella absita. RNAcentral describes it as "tRNA-Trp". Lineage: Eukaryota; Metazoa; Arthropoda; Insecta; Psocodea; Philopteridae. The record is from RNAcentral.